RNAcentral lists this antisense RNA (69 nucleotides) under Pseudonocardia sp. EC080619-01. RNAcentral's name for it is "ASpks TB sRNA". It matches the Rfam family "ASpks TB sRNA". The record is from Rfam by way of RNAcentral. Lineage: Bacteria; Bacillati; Actinomycetota; Actinomycetes; Pseudonocardiales; Pseudonocardiaceae.
CUUCACCGACCCGAGCAGCAGCGGCUGCUCACGGUCCUGCCCGUAGGUCGCGAGCAGCGCCUGGGCCUC